CACGCCCCCCUGAGGGAGCUGCUCUUAGACCUCACUCAUGUGGAUGACAGCUGGUCUUCGGUGUGGCCGGAAAAACGUGACAGUAAGACGCUACUUAGACUGGGUUAGGCUACAUGGAGACGGUAAAGAAUGAAGAGGAAGGGAACCACCAGCAGCUUUUCCCAGCCUAAAAGAAGAGAGGAGGAAGAGCAUCCCAGAGAGGAGAUGGAGGAGGAAGAGUUCAGAGAGAGAGAAAGAAAUGAAGGCAUGCAGAGCUCAGACAGCGAAAGGUCCUUCUCUAUCUCCCCACACAUCUACCAACCACUGGAACACAUCUCCAAAGUUCUGCCGGGCCAGCUCAGCUUCCCCUCAGAAGAAGUGCUGCCACCUGCCAGAUGAAGGAGCCUUUUGAGAGGCAGCUGGCAUCGUGAUUGGACUGUACUUUGGUCUGUUCCAAUCCAGCUUCAGCUCCAGAGACGGCAGGUGGGACGAGUCAACGGAGGCCGGGUGGACGAAGGCAUGCAGCUGAGUACAAUCCAGAAAACAACAGAGGAGGAGUGCAUCGGCCCAGAGCCAGAACAACCAGAGUAGCAUGACCAAAGAACUACAGACUCUUCACAACCUGCUCAAACUCUUGGUACAGGAUCUCACCACACGGGUCAAGAAGGUUUCCGUCUCAUUUCUACUCUGAAGCUCACCUUCUCCUGCUCAAACUGCUGACAAAUGUUUCUGCUGCUCUAAAGUCUGGUCUCCAGAACUUCCUAAAAACUCUCAAAGUCUCUUCUGCUGCAGGUUGCUUUGUAGAACUGUUACAGAAAACCUCACUAAACCACAAGGAGGGGCCUCAAGAUAGUCGUCCAAAUGAAACCAUACAAAAACCAAACUAGCACAACCCAAACACUAAAGUCUCCUGCAGCCUACCAGAGAACCUCUGAGAACAGAGAAUCAGGACAGGAACUCUUACCUUCUGGACAACCAACGUUGGUUCUCAAACAAGAAUACAGAAUGUGUCUGACCAAAAACCUCUAAAGACUCACUACAGCCAAGAUAAAGACACAACUCAGCUGUACCAAAUCCACUAAUCACUGCACACAUUAGCACCAUGUGCUAACUGUGGCUAAAGAACCACAUUUACCAAGACAACUAUCCAGUACAAAGCCCUAAAACACACCAAGAAACACAUUAAAGAUGAUUUUACUGCUGGAAGCUGCAAGCCAACACCUAAAAAACAAACUAAAGCAUUGGAGCCAAACCCGGUUCAGUGGUGAACAGAAGCAGAGGAAAUGUUUGACUGCAGCUACAUAAAGCAGGAAGACACUGACCUGCUCAGGUGUUCCUGAUAACACCAAGCAGCCACCUGGACAGCCAAUAGGAACACAGCUUACUGGAAGUCCAGAGGGCUGGGUUAGUGAAGGAAAUUUAAUUUAAAGUUGAAGCAGAAAGUUAACAACGAAAGUUGAAAACCACCUUCUGAUACCUGAAAUCUCUGAGUUUUCACACAAAGAACACCUGAACAUGUCAAACUGGUUCCAUAGUAGAACCAUCAUUGUAAAAACGUCAUAGUAUGGUGUGUUGCUCAAAAAACAUUAGGACCCUGCUGUCUAGGGUCGCCGAGGAGCAACACAAAAACAGGACAAACGCUGGUUUCCAGGGGGUUAGGAGGCUAUUUAUUUGAAAGAGGAAGUUCACAACAACACAUGUGAGCAGAAAAACCAGAAAGUCUGUCUUUAGUUCAGCUGAAAAUAUUAGUUUUUGUCUUUUUUAUUGACCAAACUUUUCAGGAAGUAGAUGAAGAAUAAUUAAAGCUCUCAUGUAGAAGUCCAACUUAUUUUGGAUCCUUGUGGAGAGUUUAAUCUUAGAGUUUGUACAGCUGUUGAGUUUUUAGAGUCACAUGGAUUGUUUUGACAUUUAAUAACCGAGUCCUGAAAUAAAAUUACAGUUGUGGA
This is a long non-coding RNA of Amphiprion ocellaris (clown anemonefish), 1925 nucleotides long. RefSeq lists it as uncharacterized. Lineage: Eukaryota; Metazoa; Chordata; Actinopteri; Pomacentridae. The record is from RefSeq and is a predicted model, not a curated record. The transcript is spliced from 4 exons.